Molecule: small RNA, 412 nt
Filed under: uncultured Glomeromycotina
Lineage: Eukaryota; Fungi; Glomeromycota
Description: eukaryotic LSU rRNA
Source: RNAcentral
AGAGUUAAAUAGUACGUGAAAUUGUUGAAAGGGAAACGAUUGAAGCCAGUCGUACCUGCGGGUAAUCAGCCUUUUGGGCAUGAUUCUGUGGAGCUUGAGGAGUUAAACGCCUUCAUGCCUGCAUAUUCGUGUACUUUGGGUGUACUUGCCUGUGUGGUUAGUUAACAUCAAUUUUGGUUAUCAUAAAAUGGUUGGAGGAAUGUAGCUUCGAUUUCGAUUGAAGUGUUAUAGCCUUCGGCAGAUGUGAUGAUCGGGAUUGAGGAUUGCAACGGAUACCCUUCGGGGCUACCUGUCUGGUCUCUGAUCGUUGCUCUGGUGCCGAAAGCGUGCUUACGGUUAUCAAAGUCGAUGGUCAAUAGGUUAGAACGGGUUAAAUUCGUUAAGGAUGUUGACGUAAUGGCUUUAAACGACC